GAUGAACGCUGGCGGCGUGCUUAACACAUGCAAGUCGAGCGAGUGAGUUCUUCGGAACGAUCUAGCGGCGGACGGGUGAGUAACACGUGGGCAACCUGCCUCAUAGAGGGGAAUAGCCUCCCGAAAGGGAGAUUAAUACCGCAUAAAAUUAUCGAGUGGCAUCACAUGAUAAUCAAAGGAGUAAUCCGCUAUGAGAUGGGCCCGCGGCGAAUUAGCUAGUUGGUGAGGUAACGGCUCACCAAGGCGACGAGGCGUAGCCGACCUGAGAGGGUGAUCGGCCACAUUGGGACUGAGACACGGCCCAGACUCCUACGGGAGGCAGCAGUGGGGAAUAUUGCACAAUGGGGGAAACCCUGAUGCAGCAACGCCGCGUGAGUGAUGAAGGUCUUCGGAUUGUAAAGCUCUGUCUUUGGGGACGAUAAUGACGGUACCCAAGGAGGAAGCCACGGCUAACUACGUGCCAGCAGCCGCCGUAA
Molecule: ribosomal RNA, 476 nt
Filed under: uncultured bacterium
Lineage: Bacteria
Description: partial 16S ribosomal RNA
Rfam family: Bacterial small subunit ribosomal RNA
Source: RNAcentral